Molecule: long non-coding RNA, 205 nt
Organism: Strongylocentrotus purpuratus (purple sea urchin)
Lineage: Eukaryota; Metazoa; Echinodermata; Echinoidea; Camarodonta; Strongylocentrotidae
Exons: 3
Source: RefSeq, a predicted model, not a curated record
ACCCAGAACUAAGUUGGUCGAGUUUGUUCAAUCACAAUCAUAGCUUGAUAAAAUCAUAUAAUAUUCUUCAUCUGAUCUCCACUAACUUUUGUUUUGUACAUGUAUGCACUUGGUGCCGGAGUGGACUUUUCCUUUUACUUGAUGCAACCGAUUCAAUUGGAACUUGUCCUGGUCGAACGACCAAAGAAAAAUUGCAGGAAAUGUA